UUCUGACAGACUGUACUCUCCAUGGUGAAGCAGCCUCUUGGAAGGUCAGAGGAGGUGAUUGCCCAAGCCCUUGAGGAAUACUCAGUGCACCCUGAAGUCUCCUGCUGAUAUGGGAGAAGAUGGGGGACAGUAGAUCCAACCAGCUUGGAGACAAGGAAGGCAACUUCCCUGGAGAGUCACAGAUCCUCAGGAGACCUGGCAUACAGGGUCUUCUCACUAAGCUGCUUAGGACCUUGUAAGUUGCUG
Molecule: long non-coding RNA, 246 nt
Organism: Marmota flaviventris (yellow-bellied marmot)
Lineage: Eukaryota; Metazoa; Chordata; Mammalia; Rodentia; Sciuridae
Source: RefSeq, a predicted model, not a curated record